This is a long non-coding RNA of Malus domestica (apple), 3904 nucleotides long. RefSeq lists it as uncharacterized. The record is from RefSeq and is a predicted model, not a curated record. NCBI's taxonomy places the organism in Eukaryota, Viridiplantae, Streptophyta, Magnoliopsida, Rosales, Rosaceae.
ACCAAGUUUUGAAGGCAUGCACAGCUUGUCAUAUGUGGAUGUAUCUUACAACGAAUUGGAAGGUCCCAUUCCCAACAACAAAGCAUUUCGACAAGCUUUGCCAGAAGCUUUACAAGGGAACAAAGGAUUGUGCGGCAACGUUGAAGGUUUGCAAUCUUGCACAAUUGGCCCAAGAAAGGACCGCAAAUGGGUAUUUGGAAUCACAUUCUCCCUUAUAGCAGCAAUUUUACUUGUUUCUGCUUUCUUUACAAUUAAAUUUGUAGUGCAAAGAAAGAAGAAACGUCCAGAAAAAGCAGAAAAAAACUUGCAUGAAGAAAUAUCAUUUUCAGUUUUAAAUUUUGAUGGAAAGUCAAUGUAUGAGGAAAUCAUAAGGGCGACAGAAAUUUUGAUUCCACAUAUUGCAUCGGGAGCGGAGGACAAGGAAGCGUUUACAAAGCAAAUUUGUCAAGUGACAACAUAGUGGCUGUGAAAAAACUACAUCAAUUGUGGGAUGGUGAGAAGAAUUUGGAGACGACAUUCUUGAAUGAAAUAAGGGCACUAACAGAGAUAAGACACCGGAAUAUUGUGAAGCUUUAUGGUUUAUGUUCACACCAUCGACACUCGUUCUUGGCGUACGAGUUUGUUGAUAGAGGUAGCUUGGCUGCAAUUUUGAGCAAAGAUGAAGAAGCUAAAGAAGUAGGGUGGAGAAAAAGGGUUAAUAUUGUUAACGGUGUAACUCAUGCCUUGGCAUACAUGCACCACGAUUGCUUGCCACCAAUUGUGCACCGGGACAUAUCAACCAAGAAUAUUUUGUUGGAUUCUGAAUAUGAGGCCUCUGUUUCAGACUUUGGCACUGCUAAGUUUUUGAAUCCAGACUCAACAACUUGGACUACCGUUGCAGGCACAUAUGGGUAUGUCGCACCAGAACUUGCAUAUACCAUGGAAGUGAACGAAAAAUGUGAUGUUUAUAGCUUUGGAGUGGUUGCUAUGGAAACAAUCAUGGGAAGGCAUCCUGGUGAUUUUUUCUCAUCAUUCUUAUCAGUGCCUUCUUCGUCCACGUCGUCAUCAGCAUCAACAUUACCACCCCAUCAAAUGUCAGUUGUGGAUGUUCUGGACCAACGCAUUUUGCCUCCAACACAUCAAGAAGCAGGGGAAGUACUCUCUCUUAUGAAGAUUGCGUUUUCAUGCUUGAAUCCCAGUCCGCAUUCUCGUCCUAUAAUGAAACGAGUUACUCAACUCCUCUCAACUCAGAAGUUGCAUUUGUCGAAGCCAAUAUGUAUGAUAACCUGCGGUGAAUUGCUUGCUCUAGAUCCUUUGACGGCUUGAGAAGCAGAGAGUGUGCUUGUUUCCGAUAAAUAAAUUUCGAGUCUUCCUUUUAGAAGAAAGAUUCUUUGUAGAUGUUUCCUGUAUUGUAAUUUAUUUUUAUGCACUAGUUUGCUGGGGCUCUAUUCACUUUAUGCAGAACGCUUAAUGUUUUUCAGUUGAAAUUGUGUUUACGCUUGUGAGGAAGAAAUAGAAGUUAAUAAAACAAAGAAUUGGUUUUCAUGCAUAAGGACAAUGACUGGCUAAGAUGAGAAUGCAAUGGCCACACUUAUAUUACUAUUUCUAUUUAUGUAUACGACAGGCGUAAAGUCAUAGACAAAAGCAACCAAGAAGUAGACCAAAAGCAAUCAAAUUUUGGAACGUAAGCAAAUGAACGUGCGUCGCCCGUUGGAACGUAAGCAAAUGAACGUGCGUCGCCCGUUGAAUAUUACACCGUAAAAUUGAUUGGAGAGCUUGAGAAAUGAUGUAAUGAUGAUCUCGCCAAUUGAAUCUAAGGCUGAUCUUGCAAAUUGAGACUAGCAGAUUGAUCUCGGGUCCGACUUCUCUUGAAUUUCUCCUUUCUCCCUAGCAGGCCCGGCCCUGGCCCAAUGCUAACAAGGCUCCUGUCCGCCGUCCUGCGUCUUCACCAUCGACGCUUCGGUCUCUCCGUCUUCGAGGUUCCAAGCCUUUCUCUUCGUCUUCAUAAGUUCUUCGCGACCAGACUACAGGCUAAGGCUGUACUGUCCACCCACACCGAGAUCCAACGGUGCACACAGACCUGCCUGCCUCCACCUCCGCCUCCAGCUCUCCGCGGCUCCACCCAACCGUGACACCAAUCACACCACCACCUGACCACCAUCGCCCAUCGGAUGAUCGCCGAUCUAAUGCCGAUGAUAUUAAAUCCCGAUUCCCAAGCCCAGCCCAACCGCGCAGCCGUGGCGAAGCGAGUUUCAAAUGCAUCCGCAUUGACUCAGGGUGUCAAGUCGGUCUUUCGGUUCGUUCGAUUCGCCGAGAUCGAAAUCCUCUUUCGUUGUCUUCAUCAUCGCUGUUGAUAAGUUUAGCGGUCCUGAAAGGAUGAAGUUGGAAGCAGAAAAGAGAGAUGAUGUGAUUUGCAUAUCUGCUCUGAGUGGUGAGGGUAUAACUGAAUUCUGCAGUUCAGGAUAAAUUGAAGGACUCUAUGGUAUGGGUUGAAGCCUUGAUCCCGUUUGAGAAAGGGGAGCUUCUUAGUACCAUACAAAGGAACGCUAGCAACUCAAAUGUUCCCUUUUUUUAAUACGGAAAUUGAAAUUGCAUUUUGGGUGGAAACGUCUUCGGAUGACUAAAAUCCAUCGUAAUUAAACGGUGAAUUUGAACUAUGAAGUCGUUCCCUUUGCAAAAAAGUAUCAUAAACGCAAAUCGGAGUUCAGACAACAAAUUCGCAAAUUCUCACUGCGACCUUUUGCCUACCAAUGGUCCAUUUCCUCUUCAAUCCAUUCGGCCAUUUGUUCCACAUCAUGUUAUCUUACUAGCAUCUCAAAAUGGAGCCUUUCACUUUCUCCAUUUUAUUAUUUUAAGUUCCUGAGUUCACAUCGGUUACCGUGUGGUUAGUUCGAUGUACAAACAAAUCGCAGCUGGCAGAAGACACUGUUCAAACAUAGGUUUUCUGUAUAUAGCAGUCGAAUGCUAACCAUCGUGAUUGAAUCAAUCACACUUGCCUGAAAUCACAAAUAUGAAACCAAUAUUCGUAUCAAUGUUAUAUGCCAUUUCGAGGAGUUGUGCUGUGUCAUCUUGUCAAGUUGUUCAUCUUCUGGAAAAACCUUUUUCACGAAAGGCUUGUUCUUUUUUCUAAAGCUAAUGAGGAAUUGAAUAGCAUCUUCAAAUGAGGUGUCAAAAUCUUAGUUGGAGUGUCUCUGUGCAUAUUUGACGUUAAAAGUCUCUCAAAUCAAAGUGUUAUUUGCUGACUAGAUUUAAAAGCUUUGUGGUUUGAAGUCAAAUUUGACAAUGUCAAAUUUAUUUUUAAUUUAUUUUAAUGGUGGAUCCUGCAAGGUUCGAGGGGGAGGCUUUGGUGCUGUUAUGCGAGAUCAUAGGGGAGUUUUCAUUGCUGCAACUGCGGGUUCGAUUGGUUGGACAUGUUCUGCGUUCCAUGCAGAACUUUUUGCUGCUCGUCAGGCUGUGUUGCUGGCCCAAACGUUUUGCCAUGUUGGUAAAAUGAUGAUUUUUGAAGGUGACUCUAGCUUGGUUUUGGCUGCCAUGAAGGGUCAGGAGGAGGAUUGUUCAUUUUUGGGGCCUAUCAUUAAUGAUCUGCAUUUUUUGCUCCAGUCUUUUCCUCAGUCGUUGGUAAACUAUGUGCAACGGGGAGGUAACUCGGUUGCGCACAGGCUUGCUCGAGUGGGAGUUGGAAAUAAUCAACAGCUCUUGUGGUUUGAAGACCCCCUGAUUUGCUUAGGGAUAUUUUAUUCGAAGAAAGCUUGUAAAUUGUUAUGUUUUGUUAUGUAUUGUCAUUUGAGGAUAGUUCUUUCUGUUAUGCGGGACGCUCUUUUCCCUUCGACCAGGUUGAAAGCCCCCGUAAGGUUUUAUUGAGGCUCAUUAUGCACACUAUUCUCAGUUUGUAUGUGUUCUAUUUCAAUGCAAUGAAUAACUUACU